This 333-nucleotide ribosomal RNA is filed under the name Triticum aestivum (bread wheat). RNAcentral's name for it is "partial small subunit ribosomal RNA". Lineage: Eukaryota; Viridiplantae; Streptophyta; Magnoliopsida; Poales; Poaceae. The record is from RNAcentral.
AUGUAUAUAUAUGUCACACUGAGCAAUGAGAAAAUAGAGGCCGUGAGGGCUCAAGAGAAAAGAUGUAGCACUUGUGGUUGCCAAGAAAGAGUACCUCUCGGCAAAGUUAGUUGUUUUUCUUCCUUGUUAUACAUGCGUGUGUGUGCAGUUUCACCAUGUGUGUGUGUGUUCUUGAGAGAAACCAUAGAAGAGAAGAAGAGAGGAACCCAAAUAGAGUUGUGGGAGGCAGCUCGAGGUAGAAGAAAAGCAGCGCUGCCAGAGGCGGCGCCAACACUUGAAAAAUUUGAGGAUUGCCCAAUAGUAUCUAAUGAUUGGCACCCUCAGGCUUUCUAG